GUUUAAAAGGCAGAAAACAUGCCUGCAGAACCAAACUGCUGUAUUGAUUUACUACAAGAGUUGCUAUGUCUACCCUGGAAGGGUUUAACAUCUCUGAUACGAGAAAUUUUAAUUUAUCAGGAAAUUUCUGAUGAUGUUGCAAUUUGUGACCAUCCAACUGAGAAGACCUCAAAUUCAGACGUUCCGCCAGCAGAACAGAUGGCUUUGAGCUGUGGAACUCUGAAGAGCCUAAGGUUUCUCCUUCACAAAGGUACAGAAGGCUCCGCAUAACAUGAGAUCCAUAACAGUUGCACAUUACAUCAACAGGAUUUACCACGAUUUCCUGGAAGGAGGAGAUAAGUAUUUACAUUACUCCACAAAGCCUAGGUAGAAAAAAUAGAAGUAAAGCAACUUCUCAGACACCAUUUGGCAUAUAUAAUGCCUUCCUUCACUACUAAAAAGUAAAAACACGGUGCUAAAACAAAUCAACUGAAUAUUGUAAAUACUAUCAAUAUGGAUUCAAACCCUAAUGCAAAGUGCAACUUUAUUUCACUAUUUGUAUGGGGGGGGGGGGAUGAGUUUUGGAAUAGUGAUUUUUUUGGAGAAUGUGAUUAAAAAGUAGAAAAAAUUUUGGAUUUUCGUACCGAAUAUUUUAUUGUGAGAAUGUGUGAUUGAAAAUGAGUAUGAAAAAUAAAAAAUAAAAAUAAAAAUAAAAAUAAAAAUAAAAAAAGUUUUGUUUUAAUGGUUGUCAAAUGGGAGCUCAAUGUUUGGACAGGUAAAUAUCUACUCUAGAUUUGUUCAAACUUGUUCCAAAGUACAGUACAAAUUACACUUUCAUUUUGGUGCAUCAAUUUCAACUUUGCUUUCAUCAACUGAACUCAGUGAGAGAAAAAAAGGGAAAAAAAAAAAAAAAAAACCAUUAGAGUAUAUAAUAAUAUUGCACAAGUUAAAGGAAUCUUUAAAUCAACAGCGGAAAAAAAUGAUUGUUCAAAACCGUACUAACAAUGAAAUAAAUGUAGAAAAGGGAGGAAAUCAGAAAAAAAUGAUCUCACCUCCAUUAAAUGGCUGUAUGCAUUUUCUUCCACUAAACUUAGAAUAUUUUUUAGUUCACUCGCCUUCAUAAAGUUCCACCCCGAGCCAGUUUCAGCACUGAAACCAAGGAGGACUGGAAUUACAUGGAGCAACUCCUGUUCAUGACCAGCUAAUAAUUUCAAAGCAGUCUGUCAUUGAAUAAAUUUAACUCAUCAUCAUUUAGACUACAUCAGGGGACCAAAGCAUCACAAUUAACAUAACAUCAGCGCCAUUUUUUCUGUUUAUUUGAUUUAUGAAAGCAGCCUUCAACAUGGCCUGCUUAUGACUAUUGUAUCAGAAGAAACACGUAUCAUUAAAUGUAGAAAAACUUCUAGAUUCACCUACUUUUAGGGAUUAAAGAAGUGCGUGUGAAACUGGUUAACUAUAUAAGUAGAAAUUUGUCCUGAACAAACACAUGCAAAAGCUUGCAGUCUUUAUUUCCAAGAACUACAAGUUUAAGAUACUAAAUCAGUAUAUGAAGUUUAAAAGGCAGAAAACAUGCCUGCAGAACCAAACUGCUGUAUUGAUUUACUACAAGAGUUGCUAUGUCUACCCUGCAAGGGUUUAACAUCUCUGAUACGAGAAAUUUUAAUUUAUCAGGAAAUUUCUGAUGAUGUUGCAAUUUGUGACCAUCCAACUGAGAAGACCUCAAAUUCAGACGUUCUGCCAGCAGAACAGAUGGCUUUGAGCUGUGGAACUCUGAAGAGCCUAAGGUUUCUCCUUCACAAAGGUACAGAAGGCUCCGCAUAACAUGAGAUCCAUAACAGUUGCACAUUACAUCAACAGGAU
RNAcentral lists this long non-coding RNA (1839 nucleotides) under Olea europaea (common olive). RNAcentral describes it as "long non-coding RNA (OEUR_LNC006965)". The record is from RNAcentral. Lineage: Eukaryota; Viridiplantae; Streptophyta; Magnoliopsida; Lamiales; Oleaceae.